CAAAUUAGAGCCCCCGACUAUGCCUAUGACCUGCAGGGGAAUAUGAGGGUGCAGGAUAUACAAAAAUAUGGGUAUAAUUUUGGUUUAUAAGCUUUGAAUGAGAGGGUGAAAAAAUCAUUCAUUUCAAUACACUGAUCCGUAUACGCACGCGUUACGCGUUCAAUUUUUUGAACCAGUUUGUGGAAAAUUGGGGAAAACCCUUGGGAAAAACGUUCAUAUUUUCAAUUUAUCACCUGAAUCCAGUUAGUUACCCUUUAUAUAGUAAUUGAAAAUAUUUUGUAAAUUUAUAUCCAGCCCAGUCGUUCCAUAUUUAGGCACAUUUCCACGGUACUAAAGUAUCAAAUUUUCCGGGAAAAUCGAGAAUUGAUUUUCCGGAAAAUACCUCAGUGACAAUGUUUGAGAUCAUUUAAACCUUUCUGAGUAGAAAAAAGUAUAUGUCACCGCUUUAAAUUUCUUGAAAAUAACGUAAAUACCUAAUUGGUGGAAAAAAUUUCCCGACUUUGCUUGUUUCGCCGAAGUAAGCUGGAAAAACGAGGGAAAAUUCUGGAAAAGUUUUUUCCACGAUUUGAAGGAAACAUGAUCCCUCGUAGCGUGAAAGGUUUUAUAUGACCCAAUUCGGUCAGGUUUAAGCAGCCCAAUGGUCUAAAGUCAGCAUAACGCCUUCGCUCCCAUACAAAUUUCAAAUCGCUCAAACCCAUUAGACGAUCGCCUUAA
Long non-coding RNA from Aedes aegypti (yellow fever mosquito), 714 nucleotides. RefSeq lists it as uncharacterized. The record is from RefSeq and is a predicted model, not a curated record. The transcript has 2 exons. NCBI's taxonomy places the organism in Eukaryota, Metazoa, Arthropoda, Insecta, Diptera, Culicidae.